UCUGGUUCUGUCUGGAUAUAUGGGGGAUUGUUCUUCCUGUCUGGGAAGUGAUUCCUCAACCCUGCCCUAAGAGCCUGCCGGAGAGAGUUGGCAGACUCCCGUGCCCUGCUGUGAAUCCCACAGGCUUGUGAAGGACAACAGAUGGCCAGGCUAAGCUCGGAGCCACCCCGCUAUGGAAUGAUGAAAAUGGCCAGCCUCCUGGUAAAUGGACAUCAGGACCCAGGCAACUUUGCAUUCUGUAUGAUUUUCAUCUGGAAGAUGGGAAGUUUGCAGAAGAUGUAAUGAAUGAGGCAGUCUGGCUGGAAAAUAGUGACUGAAGAAUUAAGCAACACUCCAAAUUCUAAACUAAAGGGCCAGGGAGUCUUGAACCAUUGCUGAUGAAUAGAAGCUGUGUUUAAGCAAGAUAAAAUUUACAAUGAGUCCCAGAGAGAACCGACUGGUGACUACAGGGAACAAGAACUCAUUGCAUACUUGAAGUUUACUAAAAGAGAGUAAUGGAGCAUGUAUGACCAAAAUAUAUUCAUGUAUGCAGAUAUCAUAAUAUGUUAAUAAAUAAAAUUGAAUCAUAU
This 569-nucleotide long non-coding RNA is filed under the name Cricetulus griseus (Chinese hamster). Its description in RNAcentral is "lncRNA (ENSCGRG00000025770.1)". The record is from RNAcentral. Lineage: Eukaryota; Metazoa; Chordata; Mammalia; Rodentia; Cricetidae.